Long non-coding RNA from Gadus macrocephalus (Pacific cod), 1230 nucleotides. RefSeq lists it as uncharacterized. NCBI's taxonomy places the organism in Eukaryota, Metazoa, Chordata, Actinopteri, Gadiformes, Gadidae. The record is from RefSeq and is a predicted model, not a curated record. The transcript is spliced from 2 exons.
GGCUACAGAGUGAAAGUCCAGUUGUCCUAAGUUCAUUAAAUUCCACACGACAGGCCUGAGGGGGGAAAUGAUCGAUUGUGGACCUCUGGUUUCACGUAUUGAUUGAUUGAUUGGUUGAACUCUCAGCGUAGAGGCUAAUCCUUGUUUUCUUUGCCAUUGGCUAUUGUUGUGUCCGUCAUUACGGGGGUCGAAGGGGGUUGCUGACCUCGCUGGAACACAUAUUGUCUCAAAAGUAAUAAGGAGGUUAUAAGCGGAUGGCGGCCAAGCAUCCUAAUGUAUAGGCAUGCCACAUUAUAUUGAUCCCAUGAAUGAAUAAUCAAUAGUAGACCUAUCACAUCCUUCUGUUUAGUCCAUUUAUCACCACAAGCAUAAAUAUAUAAUUAAUUACUAUUUGUUGUCAAUCUUUUUUUGAUAGUUUUUGUGCUGCAGUAGGCCUAAGACGUAUCACGGUCCUGCAGCUUCGAACGGUUUCGUUUGUUUGUUGGUUUUUAAAAAGUAGCCUAUCGUUACUGAGCUUUUACACUAGACUGAACAACAAUGCAAGCGAGAGCAAAGAGGGAGGACUUUGAGUUCGGUUUGGCUUUGGUUAAAAUGCCGUACUGCUCAGCCAAUAAGCAACCAGCCCGGAAAAAGAGAGCGUUAAGGCUGGCUGACGUGCGUAAAAGAAAUGUCAUCCAGCCAGGCACUCCCACCCAUCAGCAGCCCCUUCUAAUGCAUGGCCUGAGUGUGGAACAAUACAGGGCGGUCUACAACACAAUCGUGGAGCCCUCGGCCUCAAAGAAGCGGUCUUCAACACCAGAGAACAAGUCCACCGUACUGGGGAGAGACUUGAAGUACAAACUGUGGAUGGCGGUGGACCGGCCAAAACUGGAGGAGGUCACGGCUGAAGAUGGGCGCAUCGAGAUCAGAGUGGCGUUCGACCCUCUUCUCCAUCGCCCAGACAUGCAUACAGACUGACUCAACGAAAAAUAAUGAUGUUUGAGGUGCAAACAUGUAUUGUUUCUUUUUAAAUAAUCUAGUGUUGGCAAACCAAUCCAAACCCUCUCCGUCAAUUGCUUUUCACAGGAUAGCCUAUAAUCACCAAUAGAUUAAGCACAGCCUUACCCACUGGUCAGGCGUAUUUAUUUGUGUAGUUCUUCAACAGUGUUAAAGCCUAAAGCCAGAACAGACUGUCACAACAUAGCACUCUGCCUCUCUUUCAAGAAAGGAUUAAUAUGCUUUACUGCUUGA